Molecule: ribosomal RNA, 312 nt
Filed under: Cryptosporidium sp.
Lineage: Eukaryota; Apicomplexa; Conoidasida; Eucoccidiorida; Cryptosporidiidae
Description: bacterial SSU rRNA
Rfam family: Eukaryotic small subunit ribosomal RNA
Source: RNAcentral
GCUCUUUUGGGUCUUAUAAUUGGAAUGAGUACAAUUUAAAUCCCUUAACGAGGAACAAGUGACAAGAAAUAACAAUACAGGAUUGGAGGGCAAGUCUGGUGCCAGCAGCCGCGGUAAUUCCAGCUCCAAUAGCGUAUAUUAAAGUUGCAGUUAAAAGCUCGUAGUUGAACUUCAGACCUGGCUGGGCGGUCCGCCUAACGGCGAGUACUGUCUGGCUGGGCCUUACCUCUUGGUGAGCCGGCGUGCCCUUUAUUGGUGUGCGUCGGGGAACCAGGACUUUUACCUUGAGAAAAUUAGAGUGCUUAAAGCAGG